RNAcentral lists this transfer RNA (75 nucleotides) under Lentisphaerota bacterium. RNAcentral's name for it is "Lentisphaerae bacterium tRNA-Val". It matches the Rfam family "tRNA". Rfam says of the family: Transfer RNA (tRNA) molecules are approximately 80 nucleotides in length. RNAcentral also lists the same sequence under 4 other names. The record is from RNAcentral. Lineage: Bacteria; Pseudomonadati; Lentisphaerota.
GGGCCGUUAACUCAGCGGGAGAGUGCUACCUUCACACGGUAGAAGUCACAGGUUCAAAUCCUGUACGGCCCACCA